This 29-nucleotide non-coding RNA is filed under the name Mus musculus (house mouse). The record is from RNAcentral. Lineage: Eukaryota; Metazoa; Chordata; Mammalia; Rodentia; Muridae.
UUCUCAGGAAGCUUGAGAACUUAAGUCCC